UUUCUUAAGCUCCCAAUUUCUUUUGGUAUAGUACCUGUAAUGUGAUCGAUUAAAGGAUGAAUGAAUUUCAAUGAUUAUUUUUCAAUGAAUAUAAAUUUAAUAUAUAGCUAGGCUAGCUAGCCACCAUAAUUUUUUGGUAACUCACCAUUGAGGUUGUUACUACUCAAAUCAAGCUCCUUCAGAUUUCUUAAGCUCCCAAUUUCUUUUGGUAUAGUAUCUGCAAUGCGAUCGAUUAAAGGACGAAUGAAUUUCAAUUAUUAUUUUUCAAUGAAUAUAAAUCACCAUAAUUAUUUGGUAACUCACCAUUAAGGUUGUUACUACUCAAAUCAAGCACCUCCAGAUUUCUUAAGCUCCCAAUUUCUUUUGGUAUAGUACCUGCAAUGUGAUCGAUUAAAGGACGAAUGAAUUUCAAUGAUUAUUUUUCAAUGAAUAUAAAUUUAAUAUAUAGCUAGGCUAGCAAGCCACCAUAAUUUUUUGGUAACUCACCAUUGAGAUUGUUAUUACUCAAAUCAAGCACCUUCAGAUUUCUUAAGCUCCUAAUUUCUUUUGGUAUAGUACCUGCAAUGUGAUCGAUUAAAAGACGAAUGAAUUUCAAUUAUUAUUUUUCAAUGAAUAUAAGUUAAAUAAAUAGCUAGCCACCAUAAUUAUUUGGUAACUCGCCAUUGAAGUUGUUACUACCCAAAAGAAGCUCCUUUAAAUUUCUUAAGCUCCCAAUUUCUUUUGGUAUAGUGUUUGCAAUAUGAUCGAUUAAAAGAUGAAUGAAUUUCAAUGAUUAUUUUUCAAUGAAUAUAAAUUAAAUAAACAGCUAGGCUAGCUAGCCACCAUAAUUAUUUGGUAACUCACUCACCUGAAAGAUUAUUCCGAUCCAGAUCAAGGUAUUUGAGAUUUGAAAGAGAACCAAUUUGGGACAGAAUGCUUCCCGAUAGAUUAUUGUUCGAAAGAUCGAGAUAUUGCAGGUUUGGAAAGCAAGAAAAGUUGAGACGGCCAAGUUCCCCUUUGAUCUUGCUUUCCGCUAAGCCUAUGUCAGUGAUCCUUCCUUCAUAAUCGCAAGUGAUACCAACCCAACCGCAAUGAUCUGAAGUAUUGUGAGGAAUCCUGUCCUUCCACCAGCCGCUGUUGAGUAAAGCUUGUCUUUCUAUUUCAGAUGCUGCAACAUGAAUACUAAUGUUGGUAGCAGAUGCAACAUGGACUAUCAAAAGAGUAAGGGCAGCCCAUAUGAAUACGAUGACUGCUCUGCAAGUAUUGAAGAAACCACACUCCAUGUUUAAGAUAGUUUCAACAAAGCUAGGUUCAAGCUAAAAUGAUUUUUGGAUUUUGUUCAUGAACAAACCUGCGGGUGACUAAACUCUGCCUACUUAAAUAAUUUUGAGAUGAUGGACUAAUUCAUAUAUUUUUACGUAUGUACAUAAUUCAUGUUUUAUUAACGCGGUUUCAGUAAAAUUACAGUAAAAGAAGAGCAGACAGUAAAGCAUCAGACAACGUUUUAAGUUUGAAAUGAAUAAAUCGAUCGUGAUGUGUCUUUAGACCGAGUCCAGAUGAUAUUAUUACUUUUUUUUUUCUCUUGGGGUCACAUGCACGUUUUUCCUUCAUUUGACAAGUGUAGAGACUUCUAUAAAACAAUUAAAGCUAUUCACAAAUUGAAUAAUGAAUCACUUUUCCUAUUAUGUAGAAAGUGGUUUGAUUUCUUGAGAAAACAGACACCAUGUUUAACAUUAUUUCAACCAAGGUUGAUGGGAAAUGACUCUGCUCUGGCCAAGAAUUUUUUAUUUUAUUUUUUCGUAAUAUAGGUAUGGGUACUAGGUAUUCAAAAUCGAUUUUUUAGCCCUUAUAUUUUUUAGGAUUCGAACUCUCUAAUUAAAUCUGCUUGAAACCUCUCGGGCAGGGUCCUGAGGGAGGCUAAGACUAAAAUUGAUGAGUAGUUGAUCUCUUAACUUUGAGUUGAUAUAUUAUAAAGAAAAUGUUUUCCUAUAUACUAUACAUAUUCGUGUUUCAUGUACCCAACUUUUUCUGAAACGCGGUUUUAAAAAAGUUGCGGAAGAAGCAGAGAAGAAAGUAAAUUAAUUAAAGCAUCGAACAUAGUUUUGAUUUUGAAAUUAAUAAGUCAAUCGUCAUGCCUUUAGACCGAAUCCAAAUUAUAUUCUCUUUACAUUCGUAAAGCAUAGUUUUCUUCUUAUUUUUUGGGGUGGUGCCCCCAGGAUUUUAGAGGUUUAGACCAUGGAUUGGGACAAUAACACACUGGCUUUAGCCACACAAAUCUACUUAAAAUUAUAGCACUUGGCUACUUAGGGGGCUUUUGUAACCUUGUUUUAGACAAAAAAAAAUGAUGUUUAUGAUAGUAAUAUUUUUAAAAAUUUAAAUGCAUGCCUUAGUUUUUUUUUUUAAAUCAAAAUUAUAUAUAAAAAUGAAAAGAGCAAAAACACGUUUGGUUACAUUUUCUCACCGACAAAGUCACACUUGGUUUUUCUAAUUUACUGUUUAAGUUUGAAAAUUACUCUACUACUUACAUUUCAUUGAAUAAUCACCUUCACUUUAUUGCAGUACUUUUUCAAUGACUAAAACUUUAAGAGUGCUGAUGUUUGCCCCGGGUCAAACCCCGAACUUGAAAAAACGACACCGUUUUAAGGAUCAAUUUUUGUUAAGACAGAUGAGCUCAUUUCUUCACGCAACGAUGCCGUUUUGAGGACUAAUCUUUGGCUUUAACUUCAUCCAAUAAGAUAGAAGCAAAGAAAACAUGAAUGAGGCAAGACAGAAACUUGAUGCUUUAAUUCAAUAAACAAAAACAAUAAAAAUUAAAAAACAAUAAUUUUGUGUCUUUUAGUUCCAGCAAUGAAGUUCAUCAUCAACAGUACAGACUCUUUAUCUCAAGCACCGGAAUUAGUCAAAUGUCUUUGGGAAGAAAUAUCCUCGUCUUGAAACUUAUCAGCAAACCUUCAAAUUUGGGUUAUGAAUGAGAUGAAGAAGGUCGAAGCAUUGCAGUUAUGCACAGUCAUGCAGAGACUUUCAAACUAAUAUAUUUUUCAUUAAGAUUUUAUUUGUUAAAAAUCUUAGCCAGUACAGCACCGCUGCAGUGACGAUGGCGACAACAAUGGGUUUCUUGUUGAGACCCCUCUGCAUAUCCACAACCUCCACAAUCCUCUCAAAAUACCAACUCCGUAAACCCCACCUCACUUCUAUCCCCACCCGUCGGCUUUUCUUCUCUCACAAUUUCUCCUCUCUAGCUCUCACACCCACAACAGUCACUACUAAAGCCUUCGCCCCAACUCUCUGUUCCCCACAACCACAGGACCAACAAGAAGAGCAAGAGCAAUAAUUGCUCCUCAACUUGUUCUUGAGAUUUGAGAACCAAUUUAACGGUGCGUUUUUAACUUAAUAAAACGGUGCGUUCAGUUCAGGGUUUGACCCGGAAUUUGACCCGGGGCAAACAUCAUUUUCCAAACUUUAACUCUAACUCAUGCACAUGAAAAAUUGAAGUCAAAGUUCUACAGGAAUUUCUAAAAAUGUUUUUUUUUUUUUGAUACGGAAACAUUGACCAUUUGAAAAACAGCUUCAAUGAAAGGUACCUUAAUGCCGUGAAACACAUUCAAGGAUUAACAAACUACAUGGAUCAAGCAACCAAAUUCAUUCCUUGUUUUCAAAGUUUUUGGAUUGAAAUUUCUUGAAAAAGCAAGUUUUGGUAAUGGACAGGUUCUGUUUAAACAAAUUGACGUUUAAACAAACCACAUCCAUCUGAUCCUAAGAUUUUGUUAUUAUAAGAAAUACGAAAAGUCAAAGAAGAAAUGCUGACAUCAUGAAUCCUGCAGCAUGAUCGUGAAAAUUCAAAGAAAAAAAUGUCGGUGUCAUGAAUCUCGAGGGAAGAUCAUAAUUCCUACAGCAGAGUUAUGAAAAAUCAAAGAAGAAAUGCUAGUGUCGUGAAUCUUGCAGUACGAUCAUUAGUCCUGCAACAGAGUCCAUAAAGCCCAUGAAGCUUGCAGCAGAACCACUAACUCUACAACAGAGCCCAUUAGUUCUGCAACAAAAUCAUAAGUCCAUGGACUAGAUGCAAGAUCAUGGACUACGUAGAAGAUGGUGCCAAAAAGUUCAAAUCACCACAAGUCUGUGAGACCAUGAUUCAACCCCCAGCUCUAAACGUGGAAUGAUUUAGAAGCUCGAUUCAAAGAGAUAGGGAUAUAAAUCAGUUGUGCUAUCAUCCAUAGAAGAUAAUAUUAUGGAUUAUCUGAAUCUUAAGUGACAUAAAUGAAGAGUUUGGAUUAGAAUUCUUUGUUAUCAGUAGAACACUAUAUAUAUAACGCCUCUCUUAGUACACAAAAGAUGAGGUGACUAUAACAACAAAAGUAGGAAUCAUUUUUUUAUAGUGAAAGCUUUAAAUUCCUACUUGUGGACGUGGGCUAAAUGUUGGAUGACAUUAAAUUUUAUGUUAUAUUUAGUAUAUUUAAUUUAUUUUACUAGUUGACAAGAUUUUUAUGCCAACAUAUUUAAAUUUUCCAAGAGACAGCUUAAUGACACUUAAAUGAAGCAUAUUGGUGUGCCAAGUUUUCUGAUGACACUCAAAUCAAGCUUAGGCCUUAUUAGCUCCACCUCUACAUGUGUUUUUCUGCCUUGCUUUCUUCCUCUUUGGUUUUUGUAUCAGAUGCGGAUGUGUUUUGAACCAUCCUUGAUUCAUGAAAGACCACAUCUUCGCUUAUGAUACACCUAAGUUUCUUCAAGGCUGUACAUCGAAGGUUGUAUACUUCGAUCCCAUAUGGAUAUCUCAGGAAUGCAUAUUUCAAAGCUCUUGAUUCUAGUUAUUUUUGCUCUGCAUAUGCGUAUACAAAACAACCAAAUAUCUUCUAAUUGGAUUACUCUACUGGUUUCCAGACCAUAUUUCAAUUGGAGUCUUGAAUGGAUCAACAUGCAUUUCAAUGUGCAUAAAUAUCACAUUAAUACAUCUGCCAAAAACUUUUGUUGAGAUGUAUGCCUUACUAUCUUGUGCCCAGCUAUCCUAUUAAUUGCACGUAAAUCUUCAAACCUUUUGCUGCAAAAUCUAAUCCAUUAUUAGGUUUUUUAUCUCUUGAUCUUUCUGCCAAUUUGUGUUUCAAUGAGUGUUUUUUAAGUUUUAAACUUAUCAAACACUUUAUUUAUGUCUUCAACAUACUUACACCAUUCUAAAAUAAUUAUCUAUUAGAGAAAAAAAAAAGUACAGCUAGGCACAAGAUAUUAUAGUACUAUUAAAAUGCAUUUGAGGAAUAUUGUAAUACUAGACUAUUGUCGGCACUUGUCUAACAAAUUAUUUACGAUUGAUUUGCCCCUGCUCCUUGAUAAUAGAUUUUUGGUUUUGAAUCUAGAGCAUGCGUUCAUUAUUUUCCAACCUACUUUGAAAAAUUAUUUUCAGAAAUUGAAAACAAAGUUUAUCGAACAGUAUUUAUCACCAAUCAGUUGAAUGGCACUGUACCUGCAUGUGUGCAUAUAUCUAUCAAAAUAAUGAGUGUUUGUUACUUGCAUUUUUUUUCCCCCUUUGGUAUGGCUGCAUGCAUCAAAGGGUUAGAUUCGAAUAUGGAUACAAACUAUUGUUUUAACCCUAGUCUUGGUAACUUAAUGAUUUACUUCAGAUGGUGUUAAAUAUUCCUGUGAAAUUGAAACUCAGAUGGGAGUAAGUCAAACUUGGUUGGGUAUAAGAUGAAUACUAUAAUGAUUACUAAGAUUACCAUAACGAGUAGCUGAAUAUUUGGAUCAGCUGAACAUCUCAGAGUUAUGUUGUCAAGUUUUAUUUGUUCGAUACUUCCCAUUAUUGAAGUUGAAAUGCUUCUCACAUGUGUUUUCUGUGUAGGGUUGAAUAUCUUGUCCUUGAUGAAGUUGAUAAAGUAUUCGAGGUGGGCAACUUGUCAAAGCAUUAUCAAUCCUGUGGUGAAAGCAUGCUCUAAUCCUUCGAGAGUACGCUCAUUGUGCAGUGCUGAGCUCCUGGAAUUUUUUUUUAUGUUUUCUCAUUUUUUGCCUAAACCUUAUUGGUUUUACAAUAUCAUUAUCAGUAAUAGAAAUGCCCAAGUUUAGAUGGUUCGAAUUGACUAAUGUGGACAAACUUCUGAGUGGUGAUAUUGUAAUUCCAUAAACGCUAUUACCGUGAUAUUUUCAUACCACACAUCACUUGCAUAUCAUAUGACUUUCCUGUUAAAUACAGCGAGAAAAUGCUGUUGAUGACUUCAGAGCAGGCAAAACAUGGGUUUUAAUUGCCACUGAUGUCAUUGCCCGAGGCAUGGAUCUUAGUCUGAAUUUCAAUCCAGCUCUGACCAGGAACUUUCCUCACACCUCUUUCCUUCAUUGAGCCCAUUAAUCUAGCGACUUCCUCCCACUUUCCGGAAGAAGCAUAUAUGUUGCAAAGCAAUACAAGAGCGGCAGAAUUUGUAGGAUCGAUUUUCAAAAUAUUCUCGGCAGCUCGUUUUCCAACAUCAACAUUCCCAUGGGUUUUACAGGAAGCUAACAGAGACUUCCAUACCACGAUAUCAUCGUCAAAAGCCAUUUGGUUGAUAAAAUCCUCAGCUUCAUGUACACGUCCAGCACGAGCAAGCAAGUCAACCACACAAGAACGGCGCUCUCUUGUUGGUAUAAUCCCAUACUCAUUUUGCAUGAUCCUAUACAACUGCAACCCUUCUUCUACCAGUCCAACAUGACUGCAGGCUGUAAGGACACCAACAAGUGUCACAUGGUUUGGCCUAACUCCUGAACUUCUCAUCCUUCUAAACAGUUUAAGAGCUUCCUCUCCACAUCCAAACUGAGCAUAUCCCACAAUCAAACUACUCCACGAGACAACAUCUGGAUCCUCCAUAAAGUUAAAGAGCUUCCUCUCCACAUCCAACCUGAGCAUAUCCCUCAAUCAAACUACUCCACGAGACAACAUCUGGAGCCUCCAUAAAGUUAAAGAGCUCCCGAGCACUUCCAAGGGAGCCACAUUUUACAUACAUGUCCAUCAAUCCAUUCAUGACAAAAACAUCAAGUGCAAGCCCAGUUUUCAUUAUGUAGCAAUGAAGUUGAGUUCCCAUUUCUAAAGAAGCCAUUGCUGCGCAAGCCCCCAUUACAUCAUUGAAAGUAAUGUGAUCCGGCUUAGUUUGAGAAGCAAGCAUUAGGCUAAAUAAUCUGAAUAAUUCUCCAGCCUGGUGCUGCUGCAGAAAGCUGCAAGAAUUGAGUUCCAAGAAACUAAAUCUGCAUUUUUGCCCAACUCUUUAAAUACCAGUAAGGCAUUGCAGAGAACAGAGCACUUAGCAUACAUACCAGUAUAGCAUUACAGACAGGAACAUUCGAAUAAAACCCCUUCUUAAUAAUAUAGGAGUGAAUUUGCAUACCCUGAUAAAGUGACAAAGGGCUGGUGCAAGCACAAAGUAGGGAACGAACAGUGAGCCCAUCAGGUAUCAACUCACGAUCCCCCAUUUCUGAAAAGAGUGACAUGGCUUCGUUGGCAUUGCUACAACUAGCAACCCCAGCAAUAAUUGUAUUCCAUGAUGCUAAAUUAGGGCUUUCCAUCUCAUUAAAUACAGUUCUUGCAAAAUCUAACAAACCACAUCGGGCAUAAAUGUCACAAAAGGAACAUCCGGCAAAAAUAUCUCUACCCAACCCGAAUUUUAUGCAUAUACCAUGUACCUGCCUCCCACAUUCAUGAUGUAGGAGAGUGCUACAAGCACUAAAAACACUGCCAAAUAUAAAUUCAUUUGGCUGGUAACCACCAUGAUGGAGCAUUUCAUUAAAAUGGCUCAAAGCUUCUAACUCACAACCAAGUUUGGAAAACCCAUCAAUCAUUGAACCCCAUGAAGUUAUAUCCUUUCUAGCGAUACUGGAAAACACAUUCCAUGCAUCCAAAAUUCGAUCAAACUUUGUGUACAUUGCGAUUAGAGCAUUCUGUGAAAUAAGAUGAGAACCAUGUUCUGAUUUUAUGACAUGGGCAUGAAGUUGUCUUCCUAAGCCAACACAGCAUAGACCUGAGCAAGCUCUUAUUAUGCUUCCAAAGGUAAACUGAUCCGGCAUAAGUCCUGACUGUAGCAUUUGUACGUACAGUUCAAUCGCAGCAUUUUCUUGGCCAUUCUGAGAGCAUCCAGCGAUCAUAGCAGUCCAAGAGACCACAUUCCUUUGCGGCAUUUCAUCAAAAACCAUUCUAGCAUCCUCCAAUGAACCACAUUUUCCGUACAUAUUAAGAAUAUGGUUAUGUAGAACAGCAUCUGGCUGACACUUGGACGAUAAAAUAUGAUCAUGGACUUUUCUUCCAAGUUGUAGAGAUCUCAGAGAAGAGCAUGCAGAGAUUAAAUCAGCAUAAGUGCUAGGUCUUAUCCUGAAGUUUGUAUUGUUUUGCAAGAAGUCAAAUGCUACAAGAGCUUCAUUGUACAGGUUUUGCUUGCAGAGAGAGCUAAUGUAAUCAUUGCUGAACUGUUCAGUCCUAAAGUAAGUUUGAGCAUUUGAUUGUACAAUAGGCUGACUGUGGUAGAAGGUGAACCGCAGUUGGGUUUUUAAGUUUCUAAUCAUGGUCACAGCAUUUCAGAAAGAAAAUAGUCUAGAACUAAAGGAUAAGAAAUGUUGAGAUUUUUUUUGUAUUUGGAUUUGGAUUUUAAAAGUAAUAGUAGAAAGCAACAAAUGUAAGUGGUAAAUUGCAUGAACUGAGAGGUAAAAUCUGACUCUUAUGUUACUCCAUGAACCUGAAUAAAUCAAAGUCCCAAAUAUCAUCGAAUCUUCUCAGAAAAGAAUCCACCACCUCCCCAGCUUGAUCCAACAACAUACACAGUUCAAAUGCAUCCCAAUACUCACAACACCACCUAGGCAAAUGACAAAUAAAAAAACACAUAAUCAACAUAUUGCACUGACAAGCACGGAUACAAACUCUCGUGCAAACUUUUUGUAAACAAACUGAUAUGUCAUCACAUUAUUGGUUGGAUGAUGUAAAUGGAGCGAACUUCCAAAUCGAAUCAAACUUAUGCUAAAUGAAUUUUUCAAGCAAUCAAAAUGGGCCCCUCACAAAAUUUUUUACGGCCCCUCACAAAAUUUUUUCAAAAUGGGCCCCUCACAAAAUUUUUUACAGGAAACAAAAAUGUGAAAGCUUGUAAGAGGCAAUUCUUCAAAAUGGUUAAAAAUUUAUAAUACAUUAGAACUACGGAUACAAAUGCUACGACUUUUUGCAAUGACAACGAAGUACCAAUGAAACACAAAGUGUUGCGAUAAAGCGUGAAAGCAACGAAACUAGAAAUGGAAUCAGAAGCAGAAAUGAACUGUAAAGCCAUCAUAGCAAAAGAUCGAAACUGCCGAUAAUUAAAAUUAAAUUACCUUAAGAUUGUGGAUUGUAGUGACUGUAUUCAAGCAUCCUCGUUCUUAAAUCUGAAUUUAAAAAAAAAAAUGGUUAAACAAAGUAGACUGAAAGGAAUGCGAGCAGGUCUUUGAGCAGCAAAAUGGCGCGCUUCAAGAGUUUAGCGGUGAUAGGGGUAAAAUUGGCAAUUCAAUUACCGAGGAAAUUAAGGCAUUAAGCAGACCAUGUUUUAAUUUUGAAUUUAGUUCAUUUUCUUACAAAUUUAAACAGGUAAAGAUUGUUUAUUUCUUAUUUUAAUGUGAUAGUAUAGUUGAAUUUAAUCUGAGUACUAUCAAUAUAGUAUUUUUUAAAAUAAAUAUACAUAUGUUUUAAUAUUAUUUAUUUAUUGCAUGACUAACUUAAUAAUAUCUCUCAAACUAUAUUCCCAAUGAAUUUUAAUGUUACAUAAUUGGUAAUUAUUAAUUUUUAUAAAAUAAAAAUCUCAUCGUGUCUUUUAAUUUUUAUCAUAGUUAAAGAUGAAAGUAUGACAUGUUAUGAAAACUUCCGUAAUUUGAUAUUAAAACAACAAGAGAGGGUCUUCUCUAUGUAAAAUUUUAAAUGCAUCCAAUUUUGAGAUAAGUAGAAUGUUGUUGCUUGAUAUGUUGCGGUAAACAAUUGAUGGCGUGCAAUAGUGAUACAGGUGUGACAAAGUGUAAGCCACACUCUUCAAGAUGGUCACUCUGUUAGUCCAAUUCAGCUCAAGAGCUUCAUCCUCAUUGCGUAGAACACAGAACAAGCUUCCUCUUUCCAUGCACUCAUAAAUAAAAAACAUGCAUUUCUUGAGCAAAUAAAAACCAUAGAGUUUCACAGCAUUUCGAUGUCGUACUGUGGAGAAUAAAUGAGCCUGGUUUUGGAAACUCUUUAGAAAAGCUGAAUCCUCUGUUUUAGAAUGGUAAAGCUACUUUAAAGCAACAACUUCUCCAUCUCGUAGCUUUGCCUUGUAUACACUGUCAUAACCUCUAUAGUUCCAAUGCAUUAUUUGAUAUGAAAAUCUUCUUUUGCAUUAAUCAAAUCUUCAUGCAAAAUUUUACCAUCAUAAUUCUACACUUAAAAUGCAUCUUCAUUCUUGGUAGCUCUUGACUUGAGUUUUAGACUUUCAUUCUUAUGUUUAAAAAGUAAAAUGAAUCCAAAUAUUAUGAAGGCGAGAACUAAAGCGAGAGGAAGAAAAAUUUUAUGAAUGAACCCUAUAAACCUAAUAUCACUGCUUCCAUACAUUGAACAUAGUUUUUAUUUGCCUAGUACCCGUCUAAGUUCUAUUGUAGCGUUAAUAAGAUCUACAAGAUUUCCUAAACCACUCCCAUAAAACACAAAUAUUUUUAAGCUGUAAAGUUGGGAAUUCUGCCACUAUGAUUUUUGAGUAAAAUGCGGGGGGUUCCAAAUGUUUGAACUAAACUUUGUGAAAGGUUUGUGCUGAUGAAUCAUAUAACAAAUUUCUUAUAUACACAAUUGAUGGCUAUACUAUCACAUUCUUUUCCGUCAAGAAAAAGCAAGAUUAGACACUUAACCAUUAGUGCUUAUAAGAGACAGAAGUUGUCUGAAAAAGCAGAUUCCCUUGUUGGAUAAUCUUUGAAAAACUUAUACAACGCUUGCAUGGGAAACUUUCUUUAUGUUCAAUGGAUUGAAUAAGAUUUUGAUGUUAUCUUAAAGUUCAAGAAAGGUGCGAGAGUUCUUUCACCACUUUCCCUCAAAUUAAUAAACAGCAUGAUUGUUAUUCCAUAUACGUGUACAACUGAUAUCAUAUCUUUAUUCUUUUUUUUUUUUUUUGUAAAUCAUCCGGUGUCCUGCAACCACAUUGGGUCUCGACUAAUCCAGAUUCGGGGUAUAGUAAUAGUUAAAGCUCUUUACCCCUCCCAAAUGGUGUGUUUAGUGGGGAUCGAACUCAAGAGCUCUUUCCACAAACUCAGUCUACGCUGCUAACUGAGCCACAACAAUUUGGUGAUAUCAUAUCUUUAUUAAGCUUUAAACUAACCAUAUUUUCUUUUGAUUUUCAAUGUGAUUUUUUUAGGCAAAUAAUUUGAUUAUGCGAUAAGUUCGCCUAUGACUACACAUCUCACAUAAUCAAAGGGGAUUAAUGUUACUAUCCAAAAAUCAAUAUUAGGACUAAGGAUCCAAUUCAGCCUAUCUGACUUAGGCAUGGGAUGUGUUACAUACUUCUCAGAAUUCACGUCAGGCACUACCUGAUGGAGACAUGCAAGGAACACAUGGUGUUUAGUCAGACUAUUUAGUAUAUUCUGCAGCAAUGGCUAUUCUUAGAGUCUAAAUAUAGUAAAGUGGUGGCAAUAAAAUAUUACCAACCGAUUUUGAUAAAACAAAUUAUUUAUUAAAAUAAAUCAAUUUUAACAAAUAAACUAUUAUUUUAAAGCCCAUCAAUUUUGAUAAAACAAAAUAAAUUAUUUUUUAAAACCAACCAUAAUUGACAUUUUAGGCUUGGCUUGCCUAUAAAUAGGGGGGUUGAGAGCAUAGAGAGGUCAUGAAUUGAGAGAGUAUUUUGAAAAUUUUAAGUUCUCAAUUUAGUAAUUUCUAAUUUGUGAGAUAGGGUGUAUUGGAGUGUUGGGUUGUAAGAUUAAAUACUGCAAUACUUGUAACUUUACAUAACUAGUAAAAUAUUUUCUCUCAUCUUCUCCCAUAGAUGUGUGCUAAAAGCUAAACCAUAUAACUUUUCUAUGUCUCCUGUGUUAUAUUUAUUUCUCAAUUUCAUUUUAUUCAUCUAUUUACUUCACUCAUCAAUUCACUAAUAGUGAUAUUAGAAGCCAUCAAUCACAAUUACUCGAAUUAGAGAUACCAUUCACACAUACAAUACUAUUCACAUAUAUGAUACUAUUCAUAUGUAUGAUACUAUUCACAUACACGUUACUAUUCACAAUAGGAGUGAUUGAAGGCCAAAAUUGAGUAAUUGUAUGGUUUUGUACAUAUUUAGAAAAGUUUUGUUACUAAGACGAUGAGACUCCAAGGAGUUUGGGUUUUUAGUUGAACCAUUGUGACCUCCAAUCUAUCCUUGGAACUAUCUUGUUGUGCAAUUUUGCAUAUACUAGCAUUUCGACUAUUCAAGCCAAAGUCAAAGUUGCGACAAGCACUUAUUUGCGCCAUAUCAAUGCUUGAAUUCACUUUUGGACCUUACUCUUUGAAUCACACAAUAAAAUCAAGCGAAUUGCAUAUCAAUUAGUUUGAAUUUCUAUUCAAUCUCAAUUUUACUUCAAUCAAGAAAAAGUCUAUUCUUCUUACACGUGGCUUGGUGAAAUUUCUGCCUUAAACAUUUGAAUAGAAAUUCGGACUAAUUGGUCUGCAAUCUGCUUGAUUCUGUUUUAUGGUUUGAAAAGGAAGGUUUAAAAGAAUAUUCAGGCAUUGAUAUGGCCCAAAUAAGCUCUUGUUGAAACUUUGACUUCGGCUUGAAUAGUUGCAAGUGAUAAUAUGUAUGAAAUUACACAUUAAGAAAGUUUCGAGGAAAGACUAGAGAGACCACAAUAAUCUAACUUAAAACACAAACUCUUAUAGCCUUGGUAACAAAACUUUCCUAAAUUUGUACAAAACCAUACGGUUACUCCACUUUGGCCUUUAAUGAUUCUUGCUGAGAAUAGUACUAUAUACAUGAAUAGUAUCAUAUAUGUGAAUAAUACCGUAUGUGUCAACAACAUCGUUAGUUCGAAUUAUUGCAAUCAACGGCUUCUAAUACCACUGUUAGUGAAUUCAUGAGUGAAGUAGAUACACUGUUAAAAUGAAAUUGCAAAAUAAAUAUAACACAGGAGACAUAAAAAUUUACAUGGUUCAGCUUACUCACACACACACACACAUAUGAACUCAAAGUUCUCAAAAUCCUCUCUCAAAUCAUGAUCUCUCCAUGCUCUCAACUCACCUAUUUAUAGGGCAAGCCAAGCCUAAAAAUGUCAAUUUUAGUUGGUUUUAAAAAAUAACUUGUUUUGUUUUUAUCAAAAUUGGUGGGCUUUAAAAUAAUAAUCUAUUUGUUAAAUUAAUUUAUUUUAAUAAAAUAAUUUGCUUUGUCAAAAUUAAUCCGUAAUAUUUUAUUCCCACCACUUUACUGUCUUUAGGUUGUAAGAAUAGACACAACCGCAGAAUGUCCUGAACAGCUAGUCUAACAAAAACCAUGUUCUCCUCGUACGUUUCUGUCAGUUAGUGCCCGGUGCGAACUCUGAGAAGCAUAUAAUACAUCUUAGGCCUGAGCUUGAUAGGCUGAAUUGGGUCAUUGGGCCUAAUAUUGAUUUUUAGAUAGUAACAACCUUUUACUGAAUAAGCUAUUAAAUACGUCCGAUAGGCGAUCGACAAUUUAUGAAUUAUAGAAACUGAUAUGUCAGCAAAUCAUUGCUUGGAUGAUGUACAUGGGCGCACUUCCAAAUCGAAUCAAACUUAUGCUAAAUGAGUUUUUCAAGCCAUCAAAAUGGGCCCCUUACAAAAAUUUUUACAGGAACAAAUUUUGAAAGCUUGUAAGAGGCAAUUCUUCAAACAAGAAGACUGCAUAAUGAUUUAAAAUUUAUAAUACAUUAGUACAAUGGAUACGAACUUUAAAUUUAUAAUUGAUAUGAUGUUUUGCAAUGACAACGAAGUACCAAUUAAACACAAACUUUUGCCAUAAAGCAUGAAAGCAAUGAAACUAGACAUGGAAUAAGGAAGCAGAACUGAACUGUAAAGCCAUCAUAGCGAAAAAUUGAAACUGCAGGCAAUUUAAUUAAAUUACCUUAAGAUUGUUGGAUUCCAGUAGACUGAAAGUAAUGCGCGCAGUUUUUUGAGCAACAAAAUGGCGCGCCUCAAGAGUUAAGCUGUAGUAAGGGUAAAAUUGGUAGUUCAAUUACAGAUACGACGUCGUGCUUUCGACAUUAAGCAGACCUAUGAUGUUUUAAUUUCGAAUUUAGUUCGUUUUCUUAAGUAUCUUACGUUUUAUCCCCUAGUUUAAACUUUAAAGAUAGUUUACUUUCUUUUUUAGUGAGGUUAUACAAACAAGCAUUGAAUGUAUAAUACUAUAAUGUGUAGUUGAAUUUAAUAUAACUAUUAUUUAUAUAGAAAAUUUUGAAAAUAAAUACAUAUAUGUCAUGAGUAGUGCUACACAUCCUAAAUUAUUUAUUUCAAAUAAUUAUUUCAAAUUAUGUGGUAUUUAUUAAUUGGUUAAUGAGGAUAAUACAAUUAAUUCACUUGAAUCUUGUAAAAAAUUACCAACCAAUCAAUCAAUGACACACCAUUUGGGAUGAAAUUUGGGAUUGAAUAUUUGUAAUGUCUAUCAUUAUCGAUAUGUCAUAAUAUUAUUUACUUAUUUUAUAACAUAUUGAACAAUAUUCUUGAACUUUUAUGUUAUACAAUUGAUAGUUACUAAAGUAGUUAUUAAAUUUCAUAAAAUUAAAAUCUCACUUUUUCCCAUACGAAAAAAAGGACAACUACACCUCAAGAUUUGCGGAAAUUGUCACAAAGAUCCUCAAGUUUUUAAUAAGGGACACCGAGAUGUCGUUUGAGCAUAAUACCUUUUGACUUUAUAAACUCUAAAUAAAUUGACCUUAAAAUUUUAUAACAAAUAAAAAUUUGACAUUGCAAUAAAUGUAAUAAUAUAUCAAAUUUAAAAUAAUUUUAAUAUUUAAUUUUUUUAUAUUCUACAAUAUAUUAGAACUAUUUUAUUAUAUUAAAGUAAUUUUUAAUAAUAAACNNNNNNNNNNNNNNNNNNNNNNNNNNNNNNNNNNNNNNNNNNNNNNNNNNNNNNNNNNNNNNNNNNNNNNNNNNNNNNNNNNNNUAUAACAAAUAAAUUAUAUUAUUUAUAUUAAAUUUGUAUUAAUUAAAAAAAUUAAAGUUAAUUUUCUAAUUCUUAUAUUCAAAGGAUAUUAUAUAUGGUAAAAAGAAUAUUUUGGAGUCCCUUUUUAAAAACUUAUAUGUUAUUGUGACCAUUUCUUUAUCAUAGUUAAUUGUGGGCACAUGCAAUAACAUGGGAACUUUUCCUAAUUUCAUAUUAAAACGAGAAGUGAGGAUCUUUAUCCUCGUAAAAUUCUAGAUUGAAUACCUUAAAACACCUGUUACCAUAAGCAUGCAUUUAAUUUUGAUCAGGAUUAAUUCGCUCAUGAUUUAAUAUUGCAAUGAGUGAAAUUUUAAGCGAAAAUUGAUAAUUAAUAAGUUAUAAAAAAUUAGAUAUUACUCAUAAAUUAUUACUAAAAGAGAGAGUUUUAUAUAUAUAUAUAUAUAUAUAUAUAUACAUAUAUAUAUAUUAACUGGAAAAUUAAUUUGUGUGUAUAUGCAUUAGAUUCAUGGGUGGAAGGAGAAGUACAAUAAGAAAGAAAGAACGUUCAUCAUCGUCACGCUCAGAGGGCUUGAGAAGAAAAUGGGAGGAAAUGAAUCUUGAUAUUCUUGAGAGGUGUGCUGUGCCGCUCAUGGCAAUUAUUGCUGUUGGCUGUGACCACGGAUCAAAUUUACGUGUCAUUAUGACCGUUUCUUUAUCAUAGUUAAUUAUGGACGCAUAAAAUAACAUGAGAACUUUUCAUAAUUUCAUAUUAAAACGACAAGUGAGGAUCUUUAUUUUCGUAAAAUUUUAAAUUGAAUACCUUAAAACACCUGCUAGCAUGAGUGUGUAUAUAAUUUUGAUCAGGAUUAAUUCGCUCAUGAUUUAAUAUUCCUGAGAGGUGUGCUGUGCCGCUCAUGGCAAUUAUUGCUGUUGGCUGUGACCACGGAUCAGAAUCAUGUGUUGGCAAUUCUUUGGACCUUUCAUGUUAGCUUUUGACGUGUAGUGAAUCUUUUAUGUUUAUUGGUUUUUCAUGCUUUGCUUAAUGAUUGUUGGUCAUGUUCUCCUAGUUGUCGAACUUGCUUUUUUUUUUUUUUAAUUUUUUAUUUUCUCACAAGUGUUUACAGAUAAUCCACAAGUUUAGUCCAAUAAUUGGUAAUAUCAGCCACUAUUGACCACGAGUAAUUAGAUUAACGAAUAAUUGAAUAUUAGGUUAUUAUUAUUUUACUACUUUAAAAAUUAUCAAAUAUCAAAUGUUUACAACAAGUAUUAUCUCCUAUCAUUUUUCAACUAUAUUUUUAUAAAAAUAUCAUUUAUUACUUUUCCAUUACAACUGUUAGUUGACUCGUUAGUUGACUAGUUAGUUGACUAACAAAAUACUAAUUUUAUCCUUCAUGAUUAAAAAAAAGCUUCAUUAAAAAAAUAAUAAGAUAAAUUUAUUUUGUAAAUAAGCUUCAUUUUCAUAAUUCCAACAAAAAGAAUUAUGUUGGUAUUUUAUAUCCAUUUUAAUAAAUAUAUUACAAAUUUAUUUUGUAAAUAAGUUUUAAGUAAUUUUUUUUAAUCAUAAAGGGUGAAAUUGAUAUUUUAUUAGUCAAUUAACUGAUCAACUUACGGGUAUAACGAAAAAGUAGUAAAAUAAUAUUUUUAUAAAGAUAUAAUAGAAAAAUGAUCCGAGACAAUACUUAUUGCCAUCAUUAUUUGGGUCUAAAGAGACCAGCAGAACACAAGGAUGCUCACCUUCAAAUUUUGAAAUCCUUUCAUGGGAUAUUGUCAGAUUCAUGAAGCCAAAACAUUUCUUAGUUUCUCAGCUCUGAAAUGGAAAUUUCUUUGAGAGCUUUUUGCAUUGGUGUCUUUCCCGCAAGAAGUUCCUAAGAAAUGCGUUGCAUUGUGGGUCGAGAUUUCGGUUGAGAACUCAAGCAAGCAAAUGCUAUUGUUGAAACAAGAAUAAUAUCUUGAACAAUCUUUUGAUUCACUGGAGGCGAGAGACGUUGGUCUAAAACAUUGAUCAACAUGAUUUUUGGGCCCGACGAUGAUGAUAAUGAUGAGAGGAGUUCUCCUGGAUGUCUUCCCAUUAAUAUUUCGAGUGCCACUACCCCAAAGCUAUAAACAUCACAUUUCUCUGUCACAACCAUAGUGUGGGCAAGUUCUACAUGAAAAGAAAAGGUGUAAGAUUAUGUCUUUGAAAGUAAAACCAUAGAGCGUAAUAAGAAAUACAACCAAUUACUUUAUUCACCUGGGGCAAUAUAUCCGUAAGUGCCCGCUCAUAGGGUUCUAUUGGAUGAAUCGACAUGUAGAAGUCUAGCAGUGCCAAAAUCAGCAACAGAUGCCUCCAAAUUUAAGUCAAGUAGAAUGUUGUUGCUUGAUAUGUCGCGGUGAACAACUGACAGAGUGCAGUCGUGAUGCAGGUACGACAAAGCGUGAGCCACACUCUUCACGAUGCUCACUCUUUUUGUCCAAUUCAACUCAAUAGCUUCGUCAUCAUCGCGUAAAACACAGAACAAGCUUCCUCUUUCCAUGUACUCAUAAAUCAAAAACAUGCAUUUUUUGUGCAAACAAAAACCAUAAAGUUUCACAAUGUUCCGAUGUCGUACGGUAGAGAGUACAUGAGCCUCGUUUUGGAAACUCUUGACAAAAGCUGAAUCCUCUGUUUCAGAAUGGUGAAGCUUCUUCAAAGCAACAACUUUUCCUUCUGGUAGCUCUGCCUUGUAAACACUGCCGUAACCUCCAGUUCCGAUGCAAUAUUUGAUAUGAAAAUCUUCCGUUGCAUUAAUCAAAUCUUCAUAUAAAAUUUUACCAUCAUAAUUCCACACUGAAAACACAUCUCCAUUCUUGGCAGCUCUUGAGUUGAGUUUCGGAGUUUUAUUCUGACGUUUAAGGAGUAAUAUGAAUCCUAAUAUAAUGAAGGGGAGAAUUAGACUGAGAGGAAGAAAAAUUUUAACAAACAGAAUGAUUGAAGGUGGAUGCUUCUGACUUUGAGAGCAAGAAGGAAAGCCUUUAACAUGGCCACAUAAACCAUUGUUGCCUACAAAACUCUUUGGUGGAUGACCCUGCAAAUAAGUGGGAAUUUCACCUUCCAAACUGUUGAAUGACAUGUCUAAAUACAUUGGAGGGAGAGUCUUAGGUAUUGUGCCUGAAAGGUUAUUGUGAGAAAGGUCCAAGUUUUGAAGCCAUAAGAUUUUUCCCAUCUCUAGCGGAAUACUUCCAUUCAAACUGUUGUGGUUCAAUGUUAAAUUCCUCAACUCUGAGCAGUUGCCAAUCUCAGUUGGAAUAGAACCACUAAGUUUAUUUUUAGAGAGGUCUAGAGAUGCAAGGUUGAAGAGUUUUCCAAUUGCAAAAGGUAUUUGGCCUGAAAGUAGGUUUGAGGAAAGGUUAAGAUAUUUGAGGUGGGAUAACUUGGUGAGCUCGUCUGGAAUGAUACCACAUAUUCUGUUAUCAGAUAAGUCUAAAUAGCUUAGAGCACUAAAAUUCCCUAUUACUAGUGGAAUGGAGCUGUGGAGUUGGUUAGAACUGAGAUCCAAAAUCUGCAGGCUAGUUAAACGACCUAGAGUUGAAGGAAUAUGUCCAGUUAGCUUGUUACCUCCGAGAGACAAAGAAGUCAAAUUCUUUAGAUUUACUAUUUCUCGUGGAAUUGAUCCAUUGAACCGGUUGAAACCAAGACUUAAAUACUCAAUGUUUGUUAAACGAAACAGGGUUGAAGGAAUAGGUCCGCCUAGGUUGUUAGCGUCCAUAGACAAUGCAGUUAGACUUUUUAGAUUCUCGAUUUCCUGAGGUAGUACACCACCGAGUUUGUUACUACUCAAAUCAAGCUCCUUUAGAUUUCUUAAGCUCCCAAUUUCUUUUGGUAUAGUACCUGCAAUGUGAUUGAUUAAAGGACGAAUGAAUUUCAAUUAUUAUUUUUCAAAGAAUAUAAAUUAAAUAUAUAACUAGGCUAGCUAGCGAACAAAAUUAAUUGAUAACUCACCACUGAGUUUGUUACUACUCAAAUCAAGCCACUGUAGAUUUCUUAAACUCUCAAUUUCUAUAGGGAUAGUACCUACAAUGUGAUUGAUCAAAGAAAGAAUGAACAUCAAUGAUUUUUUUUUAAUGAAUAUAAAUUAAAUAUAUAGCUAGGCAAGCUAUCUACCAAAAUAAAUUGGUAACACACCACUGAGUUUGUUACCAUCCAAAGAAAGAGUCUCUAGAUUUCGUACACUCCCAAUUUCUAUAGGGAUAGUACCUGCAGUAUGAUUGAUGAAAGGAAGAAUGAAUGUCAAUGAUUGUUUUUUAAUGCAUAUAAAUUAAAUAUAUAGCUAGGCAAUCUAGCUACCAAAAUUAAUUGGUAACUCACCAUUGAGGUUGUUACUACCCAAAUCAAGCACCUCCAGAUUUCUUAAGCUCCCAAUUUCUUUUGGUAUAGUACCUGUAAUGUGAUCGAUUAAAGGACGAAUGAAUUUCAAUGAUUUUUUUUCAAUGAAUAUAAAUUAAAUAAACAGCUAGGCUAGCUAGCCACCAUAAUUAUUUGGUAACUCACUCACCUGUAAGAUUAUUCUCAUACAAAUAAAUGUAUGUAAGGUUUGAAAGAGAAUCAAUUUGGGAUGGAAUGCUUCCCGAUAGAUUAUUGCUCCCAAGAUCGAGAUAUUGCAGGUUUGGAAAGCAAGAAAAGUUGAGACGGCCAAGUUCCCCUUUGAUAUUGCUUUUCUGUAAGCCUAUGUCAGUGAUCCUUCCUUCAUAAUCGCAAGUG
RNAcentral lists this long non-coding RNA (19710 nucleotides) under Citrus sinensis (sweet orange). RNAcentral's name for it is "long non-coding RNA (CSIN_LNC002521)". Lineage: Eukaryota; Viridiplantae; Streptophyta; Magnoliopsida; Sapindales; Rutaceae. The record is from RNAcentral.